CAAUUUGAUGGUAGGAUAGAGGCCUACCAUGGUUUUUACGGGUGACGGAGAAUUAGGGUUCGAUUCCGGAGAGGGGAGCCUGAGAGAUGGCUACCACUUCUAAGGAAGGCAGCAGGCGCGCAAAAUUACCCAAUCCUGAUACAGGGGAGGUAGUGACAAGAAAUAACAAUACAGGUCCCAAUACGGGCCUUGUAAUUGGAAUGAGUAUAAUUUAAACCCCUUAAUGAGUAACAAUUGGAGGGCAAGUCUGGUGCCAGCAGCCGCGGUAAUUCCAGCUCCAAUAGCAUAUAUUAAAAUUUGUUGCAGUUAAAAAAGCUCGUAGUUGGAUCUCGGAACAGGGAAUAACUGGUCUGCCGGUUGGUAUGUACUGUUGUUCCCGUUCUCUACUGAUGGAAACUUAUCUCUACUCUUAAAUGAGUCGGAGAGUAGAUCAGUAGAAUGAAUGUUGUUUUCGAACUCAUUCAUUCUAAUUACUCCUACUUUUGUAAGUUCCAUCUCUAUUUACUUUGAAUAAAUUAG
Molecule: ribosomal RNA, 519 nt
Filed under: uncultured eukaryote
Lineage: Eukaryota
Description: bacterial SSU rRNA
Rfam family: Eukaryotic small subunit ribosomal RNA
Source: RNAcentral